AAAUUGCUUACUAAAGGAUAAAAAAUUCAUCAAAUUAAAGUAACAUUUAUAUUUAUCUCCGCACGAACACAUAAACGCUUCACUAAUAUUUGCAUUCUGCGGUAGAUUGGAUAUUGAAUAUUACGUCUCAUCAUAUUGAAGCAACAUUCAACUUUAUCUCCUGCACGAACAUACAAAUUUUUCAUCAAUAUUUGUAUUCUAUAAUAGAUUGGAUAUUAAAUAUCACAUAAAUUUGUAUAACAACCGUAACAAACAUAUAAUAUAAUCAUAUGAUUGAUUAUUUAAACUUAAUCUUAUUACAUGACAACAAAUGAAAUUCUAUCUAUAAACAGUGAACAACAAAAUUAAAUAACCAUGAAAAUUGAGAAAUAUAAUGGAGAGAAACUUGAGGCAUGAGGGUAAUAAGCACAACUUUUCUCUUCUUUUUUUUCAUUAUUUAUACUACUAGCAAAAUAGGUAUAUUUUUUUCAUUUUACUAUAGAAUUAAAAAAGUCACAACUUUUGAAUUAAUGGUGAAGCUUUUGAAUGGAGGAAAUGAUUAGUCAUAUAGACAAAUUUUUGAACAAUAGUAAUAAAUAAAAUUAUUAAAAUCAAUAAGAUAGACGAGAAGAGUGGUAAUUGACAUAUAUUUAGUAUUAAUUAUUAUUAAUAUCAAUUUUAAUUGUGCUUAAAAUAUUUGAUUGAAUAAAUAAAAAAACAAAGAAAGAAAAGAGGGUGAACUAAGGAAAUGAUAUAAUUAUCAUUAAUUGCAUUAAUGAUGGAAAGAAUUAAAUAUGACUAUUUUUAAUAUUUUGUAAAUUUUUAAGGUGAAAUUUAUGUCCUUUAAAAUUGAAAAAAAUGCCUAAAAAAAAAAUAAAUAUAAAUUCAGUCCUUAAAAAGCGCUACGUCAGCAAGUCUAUAACAUAUAUAUAAUAUUAAUUAUUAUUAAUAUCAGUUUUAAUUGUGCUUUUUUAUAUUUGAUUGAAUAAAUGAAUGGAAAUAAAAAGAACAAAGAAAGGAAAACAGGUGAAAUAAGGAAAUGAUAUAAUUAUCAUUAAUAACAUUAAUGAUGGAAAGAAUUAAAUAUGACUAUUUUUAAUAUUUUAUAAAUUUUUAAGGUGAAAUUUAUACUUUUUAGAAUUAAAAAAUAUGUAAAAGAAAAGGGAAAAAAAGAUCAAUAUAAGCAACACACGCAUGUGAAGCAUUUCUGGCUGAUAUUUACUUCACUCAAUAACACCUCUCACGUUGCUUGCUAUGGAAUUUUUUGCAUUUACUCCUUCAGCAGCUCCCCCAGCUCUCUCUUGUGUAUAUUCAUUUAUUGCCAAUAAUCAAUAUGAACUAUAUGCAGUACAGUUCACUACUCCUGGCAUCCUUCUCUACUGUCGCUUUCACUAUAAGAGCCUACAAUUGGGACAUAUGAAGGAAAGAAGGAUGAAGAAGACAGACAAAAGAAAGAUAUUUACCUUCUAUUUUGGGUUAUGAAUGCCUUUAUAUUCGUUCUAUACUUAUCGAUGAUAAGUUGCCUUCAUGUUAGGUUAACGUGAGACGCGUUAAAUAGUAUAUUUUUCCGUUGAAGGGGGUUCGGACGAACCCCCUAAAGAAGGCUGGCUCCGCCACUGUACCUGGCCAACGACAACACUCUUCUGGAUCAGACUACUUCCCAUAGCAGCUUUUUCAAUCUUUGAUGGUUCAACAUUCUCACCUAGUCUUUCCGCAAGAGGUAAAAACAUAUGAUAAAGUUCAAAGACGUCAAUUGCAAAAUUAGUAGUAGAAUAAAGCCCGUUCGAUGAUGCCUAUUCCUUCAAUCAACGGCCGAUUGAAUCGACAACCAACGUUGACAGCCUCAAUCUUGGAGGAUAUAUGAACCAGCCGAAAAGUUGAAUGUCACGUAAAGCCAGACUCUUUAAAUAAUUAAGAAGUUUGGUUUUCUACGUGGGUAGAGGAAGAGAAAAGGUCUUGUAUCUUUGGAUGUGGGUGGAGACUGGAGUGGAAAGGUUCAUUUGCCAUUACUAACAAAAUUUAAAACAAAUAAAUGAUUCUAAUUAUAGAGAAAUAACAAAGAAUUAAUCAAAAUAUUUUGAUAUUAAAAUCUCAAAAAAAUGAGAAAACAGAAAAA
RNAcentral lists this long non-coding RNA (2095 nucleotides) under Capsicum annuum. RNAcentral's name for it is "long non-coding RNA (CANN_LNC017448)". Lineage: Eukaryota; Viridiplantae; Streptophyta; Magnoliopsida; Solanales; Solanaceae. The record is from RNAcentral.